RNAcentral lists this ribosomal RNA (253 nucleotides) under uncultured bacterium. RNAcentral's name for it is "partial 16S ribosomal RNA". It matches the Rfam family "Bacterial small subunit ribosomal RNA", at positions 524 to 776 of the family's 1533-position model. The record is from RNAcentral.
UACGUAGGGUGCGAGCGUUGUCCGGAAUUACUGGGCGUAAAGCGCGCGUAGGCGGCUCGAUCAGUCGGGUGUGAAAUCCCUGGGCUCAACCUGGGAACUGCAUUCGAUACUGUCGAGCUAGAGUGUGGGAGAGGGUAGUGGAAUUCCCGGUGUAGCGGUGAAAUGCGUAGAUAUCGGGAGGAACAUCAGUGGCGAAGGCGAAUCUCUGGACAGUUACUGACACUGAGGCACGAAGGCCAGGGGAGCAAACAGG